CAGAGCAAUACCAACAUCAAGCAAAAAAGAAUAUUUGACAGAAUAUGGGUUUUGGCAAAAAAAAAAAAAAAAAUCACUAAAAAUGAAAACUUCCCUCUAGGCAGAAACUUCUCAGCAUGAAUUAGGAAUUGAAGACAAACAGAGCCCAGCUCUUAUAAAGGUGCCCCUCCUGAGCUCCUAAAAAGGACAAAAAUCUCCCACCCAUGGACCCAGCUGAGCCAGGAAGCAGUUUGUUGCCAAGGUCCCAUGUACAAUUCACUUUGAUGUCCUGCUGCUGAUAUCUUCUCUAAAGGGAAUUCAGGUUUUCCCACCUCCCACCCCCAUCGUAUCAGUAAGCAGCCCUGCACAGUAUCCUGCAGAGCCCACUGCAUCUCCUUGAUCAACCCUCCAGCAGUCUCAAGGAGGUCAGUCCACUCUUUUAGCCAAACUCUUGAGAGGUUUUCCAGCCUCCCACCACAGGAGACAGCGGGUGCUCCAGCAUGGUGAGGCUCCCUCUCAUAAAGCUGCUCCCUCAGAGUGGCAGAUCACACUGACUGCAGACGAAAUACCGGGUUAUGAAAGAAAAAGGCCCCCCCAUACAGCUUGUCUGGAUACUACACCCUCUACAUCUGCAUGCCUCAGCAGGAUCCAGGAUCUGAGCACAGAUGUAAGGAAUCUUGAACUACCUGCGGUGUUCAGCUCCUCCUACUUCAUAAGCAAAAGCUGUCAGUCCAGCCGGCACAAAACCACCAGCCCUCCGCUGCAGCACACCCUGGCCCCUCCAGCAGAUUUCUGUUGCUUGUAACAGAUUCUGCAGUGCCUGGAGCUAGAAGGCUGCCACCCAACUUUCCAGGUCAAUCAAGCUGUGACUGCCCUCCUGGACAGGCGGGUAAAGGACAGCAGCCCUCACCAGCUUCUUCAGAUUCGCUGCCAGGAAGCCACAAGAGGGAUUAAACACAGCCCAAUGGCAGCUGUGGAGGAGAAAACCCCCUACAGCGACAUUGCAGAGAUUUGGUCUCACCACUGCUGACCCUGAAAAAACACACUCUCUCAUAAAUCCAGAGGCUGUCCUCACUUGCCACACUGUCCUGCUCAUUCCUUAACUAUAUCUGUAAGGUCACCUGCAUGGGCAGCAAGCAGCAAUGCCUUUCUUAACUAUUAAAAAGUCCAAAUCUCUCCUUGGUAACCUCUUCCUCUUUCUUCCUUGACCACUAUCAAGUGGGCUAGAAAUUGGUAGUCUGUCCCUGUCUAACCCAAACUGAACCCCACACACCUUUACCAAUCAUGAGGCAUCAUUACAUUUUAACAGAUGAAAGGAGAUAAUGUCCAAUUCCAAAACAUGAAAGGAUUUUGAGAAGGUAAACAACUACCCUAUCAAAGUCUUUCUCCCAAUCCGGGGGGAGAGUCCCAAAGUCAGGAUUACAUAAUCAAGAUAACUUCAACAUGUUGUGCAUCGUGAACAAACUGUCCAACACCGAGCAUCGGGGGAACAGCAUCGGGCUGCAGAGAGGGAGAGAGAAAAAGAGAAACAGGGAGCAGGCAUGAGAGAGGAUGAUAUGGA
Molecule: long non-coding RNA, 1540 nt
Organism: Myripristis murdjan (pinecone soldierfish)
Lineage: Eukaryota; Metazoa; Chordata; Actinopteri; Holocentriformes; Holocentridae
Exons: 3
Source: RefSeq, a predicted model, not a curated record